AGUGAACGCUGGCGGUAGGCCUAACACAUGCAAGUCGAACGGCAGCACAGUAAGAUCUUGCUCUUACGGGUGGCGAGUGGCGGACGGGUGAGGAAUACAGCGGAAUCUACUUUUUCGUGGGGGAUAACGUAGGGAAACUUACGCUAAUACCUCAUACGACUUACGGGUGAAAGCAGGGGAUCUUCGUACCUUGCGCGAUUUAAUGAGCCGAUGUCGGUUUAGCUAGUUGGCGGGGUAAAGGCCCACCAAGGCGACGAUACGUAGCUGGUCUGAGAGGAUGAGGGGACACAGUGGGACUGAGACACGGCCCAGACGCGUACGGGAGGAAGCAGGAGGGAAGCUUAGGAAAUGGACGAAAGGAUGAACGAGCAACGCAGCGGGAGAGAAGAAGGUUGUCGGAUCGUAAAACGCUGUUGGUAGAGAAGAACGUUGGUGAGAGUGGAAAGCUCAUCAAGUGACGGUAACGAACCAGAAAGGGACGGCUAACUACGUG
This 493-nucleotide ribosomal RNA is filed under the name uncultured bacterium. RNAcentral's name for it is "partial 16S ribosomal RNA". It matches the Rfam family "Bacterial small subunit ribosomal RNA", at positions 30 to 507 of the family's 1533-position model. The record is from RNAcentral.